This is a long non-coding RNA of Brassica rapa (field mustard), 485 nucleotides long. RefSeq lists it as uncharacterized. Lineage: Eukaryota; Viridiplantae; Streptophyta; Magnoliopsida; Brassicales; Brassicaceae. The record is from RefSeq and is a predicted model, not a curated record.
AGGAUUAAAGAAGAAGCAAAUCAUAAGACCACCAAUUAUCACAUGAUUAAAAAAGCUGAACAUAUGAUACUUAAAACAAGGCCAAGGAGGGGACAAAAGAAGCUCAGAAACAAAACUAGCAAAAUAAGAAAAGAGAGUAUCCAUCUGAUUCCUCUUCAACAACACUGAAUCGAAUAAUCUCAUCUUGAAGUUUUCAGCUUUCUAUAGUUUUUUUUUUUUUUGGCAAAGUAACUAUCUUUGAUGUAAGCAUCGUUCUAUCAAAUAAACUACUAGAGACAAUAGUCAUUACAAGCAGAGCAAGCCAAGAACGUAACUCAUAAGAAAGAAAGAAAGCAUCUUUCUUGAAGCAAGGAAACAAUAAUCCUAAGGCUAAAGUAUGAUAUUACCAAUGUCAUAGACAAUGAUGUCGUUGAGGAACUUCUUGUCGACGAGGCCGCCGAACACCACGACCAUGGAUUUUCCGACAUUGACAGCUGUAUGUCCAC